RNA transcript from Ahaetulla prasina, 8201 nucleotides. It is a transcript of the gene named frizzled class receptor 5, with no coding region annotated. NCBI's taxonomy places the organism in Eukaryota, Metazoa, Chordata, Lepidosauria, Squamata, Colubridae. The record is from RefSeq and is a predicted model, not a curated record. The transcript has 2 exons.
GCCCCUACCAACCUGCCUUCCAUUGAGGACCUGUAUACUGCACGAGUCAAAAAGGGCUGUGAAAAUAUUUACAGACCCCUCGCAUCCUGGACAUAAACUGUUUCAACUCCUACCCUCAAAACGACGCUAUAGAGCACUGCACACCAGAACAACUAGACAUAAGAACAGUUUUUUCCCAAAAGCCAUCACUCUGCUUAACAAAUAAUUCCUUCAACAUUGUCAAACUAUUUACUAAGUCUGCACUACUAUUAAUCUUCUCAUCAUUCCUAUCACCCAGCUCCUUCCACUUAUGACUGUAUGACUAACUUUGUUGUUUGUAUCCUUACAAUUUAUAUUGACUGUUUCCUAAUAUGAUUUGAUUGCUUAUUUGUACCCUAUGAUUAUCAUUAAGUAUUGUACCUUAUGAUUCUUGAUGCACGUAUCUUUUCUUUUAUGUACACUGAGAGCAUAUGCACCAAGACAAAUUCUAUUCUAUUCUAUAAAGGCACACUCAUGCACACCUAGGCACAUUCAUGCAUGCACACCAACUUGGCAUGCAGUGCACCAGAAAUGCUAACUUACAAUUCUCACUGGAUAUCAACUCAUUUAGAAGACACUGGAUGGAAAUUUGGAAGUGAGCAAAUAAUCCCUACAACAGCAACAGGCCUGGUUUGCUGUCUGGAUGUUCACAUUUUGAAUGUUUCAAUUAAACUCAGAUUUAUUCCACUGUUUCCAGCAUAUGGACAAAGCCAAUGGUGGGACAUGGUGGCUCAGCGGCUAAGACGUUGAGCUUGUCGAUCGAAAGGUCGGCAGUUCAGUAGUUUGAAUCCCUAGUGCUGCCGUGUAACGGGGUGAGCCUCGCUUCUGCCAACCUAGCAGUUCGAAAGCACAUAAAAAAUGCAAGUAGAAAAAAUAGGGACCACCUUUGGUGGGAAGGUAACAGUGUUCUGUGCACCUUUGGGGUUUAGUCAUGCUGGCCACAUGACCACGGAGACGUCUUCAGACAGCACUUCAGAUGUCUUUGGCUUUGAAACAGAAAUGAGCACCGCCCCCUAGAGUUGGGAAUGACUAACACAUAUGUGCGAGGGGAACCUUUACCUUUACAGUGGAAAUGAGAUGUCUAAACAUUGUUUAAUUCAACCAGAGUCUAUAAAAGGUGCACCUAUUUAGCAGAUCUUCUGAAAUUAUAGGCAUACUUUAAAAAAGGGAAGAGAGAAAAACUAUGGUUGCUUCUUCAGUUCCUUUUAAUUCAGUGGGACAGAUGACCAAUAGAUUCAGGGCAACAUAGUUAAUACUUCACAUCAUUAAUUGGGAGCAUCUAAGGCUGUAUGGAGGUUUAAGGGACUCUAUAAAGGGGAUGAGGUAAAGCCACACAUCGCAGGUCCCUGGAUGGCUGGAAAAGGUCCAGGGUCACCAGGAGGGAAACUGCAUGCCGGCGGCCCAGGACCACUUUCAGGGAGGAAGCAGGACAAUGAACCGAGUGUGGAUUUCUCGAGAACACUGGCCACUUGGAGGAACGGUGCUGUGCUAACAGAUCCCGUGAUAUCGUUUAAUUGGGUUCUUAAUGGGGCCUCGAAUUCACACAUUACUCUUGACAGAUAAAAAUAAACUAUAAUAUCCCAAUCACAGUUUGGUUCAAUUAACCUAACUGGCUGACCGGCAUUCGCAAAAGAAUCCGGCUUCCAGUCGUGCGAGGAAAGCUCAACUCGAGCCUCCCGCAGCCGAGAGGCGGUCUCUGCACUUGGAGGCUUCAUUAUGGCGAUCAGCUGCCGGAGCGGACUUGCUUGCCAUAAACGUGUUUAAUCGCAACCUCUCAAACCUCCAGUGGUUGCGAAUUCCAAAAGUUCAUUCUCCCCCGCCGGCCUAGGAAGCCUUCGGUGCACCGUCUUCCCCGAGGCUCCCUAGGCUGCAACUUCCUCCCUCGGGGAAGGCGAGGGGGCGGCCCCGGGCUGAUCUCCAGCCCGGGGGGCGGAUCCGGGAGGCGGUCUCGCGGGCCGGGCAUUAGAGCGCAGGUGGCUCCGGCUGGGAGCUGCAGUCGCCUGCGGUGGCGCUUCGCUGCCUCCGUGCGUUGAGGCGGACGGGAGGUGCCGAUCGCGGCUUGGGAGCCCCCUUCUCCGCCAGUUGGGCGCCCCGGCGAAUCUCAAGGACUCGCGCCUUCGCGGAGCACGUCCCCCGACUCGGGGUGCGACCGAAGCAUGGAGAGUCCGCGCCUUCUCCGCGCCGCCGCUUCUGCGGCGUGGCCGGGCAGCCGGCUCUACGGCGCGCCACCCGGCGCGGGGCCCCGCUGACCAAUUUUCCUCUCGGGAACGCGAAAGGAGCCGGAGCAGGAGAACGCGCGUCGGCUGCCCUUUCUGCCCUCGGCCGGGCCCGAGCCAAGCCUGCUCUCCGCCGCGCGGGAUCUUUCAGAAAGGACUUUUGAUAUUCUGCCGAGGGCGAAGUUAAGGCGAAACUUUUCCCGCUGCGGUGGGGGAUCCAGCCUUGCUCUCUGCGCUGAACUUCCAAGCGGAGAGCGAAGGAGCGGGGCCCUCCAGGCUGGCUUGUUAUGGAGUUCGCCUGUUUUUUGUUUUGUCGGGUUUUAUCCCCCGCACGCACCUGUCUUGCUGGAGCAGCGAAUCCUCCGCGGAAUUGGCAGCAACCGCUCUUGCCAUGGGAAGACUUGGGCUCCUUGGGAGGGGAAAGAAGGCCGGUCGGGAGGCCCUUGGACUUUCUCCAGGACCGCGCCACCUGUGAGCCCAGCGCCUCCCGCUUUGGAAUCAGCCGGAGGGGUUAAAGCGAAGGCAGCAGCCGCCCGGGAGGAGGCAAGGAGGGUGGCCUGAUACGCGCCCUCUGCUUGGCGCGGCCCCUGCGCCUUGCCAUGGCCGGAUUUCGCCCUGGUCUGAGAGGUACCUUGCUGAGCCUUCUGCUGUUCGUGCUGAAGGCUCCGGUUCCUGCUGCGGCUGCAUCCAAGGCCAUCGUCUGCCAGGAGAUCACCGUGCCCAUGUGCAAAGGCAUUGGCUACAACCUGACUUACAUGCCGAACCAGUUCAACCACGAUACCCAAGAUGAAGCUGGCCUGGAAGUGCACCAGUUCUGGCCCCUGGUGGAGAUUCAGUGCUCUCUGGAUCUGAAAUUUUUCCUCUGCAGCAUGUACACUCCCAUCUGCCUGCUGGACUACGCCAAGCCUCUGCCGCCCUGCCGGUCAGUGUGUGAGAGGGCCAAAGCCGGGUGCUCUCCUUUGAUGAGGCAGUACGGCUUUGCCUGGCCAGAAAGGAUGAACUGUGAUAAGCUGCCCAUUCCAGGAGACACGGAGAUGCUGUGCAUGGAUCACAACCAGACGGAGGCCACAACCUUGCCCCCAUUUACUAAGCCCACCCGCUCUUCUAAAGGAAUCCACAAAAAUCUCACCCCUCUAACCAGUAGUGACUGCAAGAGAGUAUGCGCCUGCAAAGAGCCCUUAGUCUUCAUCUCCCAAGAAACUCACCCGCUCUACAACAAGAUCGAGACUGGCCAUGUGCGCAAUUGCGCAAUUCCUUGCUUCCAGCCCUAUUUUACCCAAGAUGAAAAAACUUUUGCUACCUUCUGGAUUGGCUUGUGGUCCGUCCUUUGUUUCAUCUCCACUUUCACCACAGUGGCCACCUUUCUGAUUGACAUGGAAAGGUUCAGGUACCCGGAGCGCCCCAUCAUCUUUUUAUCAGCCUGUUAUCUCUUUGUAUCCAUUGGCUACAUCAUCCGGCUGAUUGUGGGCCAUGCUAAUGUGGCCUGCAACAAAGAUUACAACCACAUACACUAUGAAACCACCGGGCCUGCCCUCUGCACUGUGGUGUUCCUCCUGAUCUAUUUCUUUGGCAUGGCAAGUUCCAUCUGGUGGGUCAUCUUGUCUCUUACCUGGUUUCUGGCAGCUGGGAUGAAGUGGGGGAAUGAAGCCAUUGCUAGCUACUCCCAGUAUUUUCACAUGGCAGCCUGGCUUCUUCCAAGCAUAAAAUCCAUUACUGUUUUGGCCCUGAGCUCAGUCGAUGGGGACCCGGUAGCUGGGAUCUGCUAUGUGGGUAAUCAGAAUGUGGACAAGCUGCGGGGUUUUGUCCUCGCUCCGCUGGUGGUGUAUCUUUUCACCGGGACCAUGUUUCUGCUGGCUGGUUUUGUAUCCCUCUUCCGAAUUCGGAAUGUGAUUAAACAAGGGGGCACAAAGACGGACAAGCUGGAGAAGCUGAUGAUUCGUAUCGGGAUCUUCACCGUUCUUUACACUGUCCCAGCUACCAUUGUGGUGGCUUGCUAUAUCUACGAGCAGCACUACAGGGAGAAAUGGGAGAUGGCACAGAAUUGCUCUUGCCCUGGGGACAAGUCCAGACCGAAGCCUGACUAUGCUGUUUUUAUGCUCAAGUACUUCAUGUGCCUGGUGGUGGGCAUCACCUCUGGGGUCUGGAUUUGGUCAGGGAAGACGCUGGAGUCUUGGAAGCAGUUCACAGGUCGAUGCUGCAGGGGAGGGAAGCCCGUGAGCGCCACCAUGUACAGUGAGGCCAACAUAGCGCUGACAGGCCGGACUGGGCUUGCCACUUCUGCUUCCUACCACAAACAGGUUCCCCUGUCCCAUGUGUGAAAAAGCAUCUUGCUUGGUCAAUAGGGGGGCAGGUAAGCACCAUUCAUCCUAGGGCCCAUCUGGAGCCUUUCUGGAGUUUUGUUCAUUGUGGGCCUCCCGGUUUGCCUCUGGUCUAAAAAAAGGGAGGGGACGGAGAAGAUCUGGCCAAAGAUUGACUGCAGAGUUGGUAGAAAGUCACUGUGCCCUUGUGCAAGGCGUGUUUAGAUUUAGGUUUGGGGUUAACUGUGUGAUAGGAAUUGGGCAAAUUCAUUUCUGGACAAGAGUUUGCUUUUUGAUAAUGAAAAAAAAAUCCAUGGAGGCUGCAAGACAGUGAAAGUACAGGAUCAGGGAGGAUGAGUUGGUCAGUUCUGCACGUAUUAUAUGAACUAUUCCAGCUGGCUUCUCCAACUGCAAGCUGUAACUCUUCCCUUGAAUCAACUGCCCAGAAGAGGAGACCUGCAUUUUCUCAGCUGUGUGACACUAUAAAGACCACGGAGCUUAUUUAUGAACUUGAGUCCACCUCAUCAGAUGCUCUCCCACAGUUUAAGCUUGGCGGACUAUGUACUUACAACCAAGUAUCCCUUUUCAUUUGCAUGAUGAAUUCUAAACCACAGAAGCUUAUACAAUCUUUUUAUUUUGUUUUUUUCCUUUCUGCAUCAGACUCUUUAUGGCUCUUAUUUCAUUAAAUAAUUUAAAAGAUCUUUAAUAUAACCCAAAUAAUUACUGAUAAAAUAAUUACAAGGUUUUUGAAGAUUACUUGAGUGAAAGAACUGAAAUCCUAAAGACUAACCUAAUUGGGGCCUAGAUGCUGCUUUCUGAGCUAGAAAUUUCCCAAAUCAGGCAAGUGGCUGACUCUGAAGGAGCUUUUCCAUAGGUAAAUUAGGGACUUUUAAGUGCUUGCAGGAUUUAUAUAUCUUCUUUAGUUCCUGAGAAGAUCCCAACUUGGAUUAAUUUGCAGCAACCCUGUUAACCACAUUGACCUUGACUUCAGUCACCUUCUGAAUGUCAUAUCCAAAGAAGGAAAUAUUAAUCUAGUACUACUUUUCAGUGAUCACACUGCACAUAUACCAACCUUUAUUACUCCUCUGAUAACAAAUUAAGCCUGGAUGAUGCGGGUUAAGUAGAAAAUCCUGCCUUGAAGGGAGAGAAGGGAUAUUGUUGGCUUUUUCCAGCACAUGGUUCUGACAUUGUGUUGCCUACUCCCCAGGGCACAGCAGAAAAUGAUGUAUUAGGCACAUGGAUCUGAACGCUUGGUAUGGAAUAGAAGACCAUUCUAGGCCAUACGGCAUUAAAAACAUGUAGAAGUCACAUUUGAGUUUAGCUUUAUGAUACAAGUCCUGGACCCAUUACCUCUGUGUUUUAUAAAUUUUUAUUCUGUAUUCAAUAGGUUGACUUUUCAAGAAAGAUUGUGAAGAGCAGUGUCACUAAUUAAAUAACUUGGAGAGUUUCAUCUUUAGACUUUCAAUUUUGAACAGCAAAGCUUUGUUCACCUUGACAGAUGGUCUAAAACCUGGUAGCACUAAAUAGUUAAAUCACAUAUAGAAUUGCAUCAGACAAUUAAGUGGAUUAAAUCACUAAAUUAUAUUGGUGACUUUACAUUAGAAAUGCUUUAAGCAACUCUAUUGCAUUAUUUAGAUUUAUUUCUUACAAAUGGGAAUGUAUAGUGGAGAAGAUGCUUUCUUAAAACACGUACUUCAGAUUCACUGCCUUCAGAUUCACUUCCUUAAGAGAUAGGAAAAGCUCCAGCUUAAUGAUUCUGGAGUAGUAUAAACUCAUACUUAAAAGAAAAUCAGAAUUUACUCUCAUAGCCAAAGUUAUGACUUGAAUAAUAUUUACUUCAUUUAAAGUAACAAAAUUCAUUUAUUCUAUCCACUAGUUAUUUAGUGUCUCAAUCAAAACACAGACAUUUGGGAAAUCUGGAAUUUCAACUGAAAUGACUUACCUAUAGUUGUUCCAUGUGUUAUGUGGACACGCAGGACACUCAGCCUAGGACAGUUGACUUCAGUCUGAACUGUCUGAAAAGAUCUGCAUCAAAACUGCCCAAGAUUCACUUUUGUUCCUCAGGAACGUUAUGACACUGCCCACCCAUACUUAAUUGAGGGUUGCAAGCAAAAAAAUUAAAUCUGGCUGCAUUAUAUAUAAUAAAAAAGGGGUUGGAGAGUAUUCCUAGCAUGCAUUUAACACAACUUUUUCCCCCUUUAAUCCACUCUGAUAUAAAAGGAGUUGGGGAAGAUGCCAUUCACUCAAGUAUAAAAUUAAGUAUCUUGCUACACUUACUUGAAUUAGAUCAGAUGUGCCUGAGUUAUGAGUUAUGCCUGGUAGGGGCAACUGCUCUAUUGCAAUGUCUUGCCAAAAAUCUGAAAUAGCCCUCUUAGCAUGUCAUGUGAAUGGCAGAAACAUUUUUUCCACAGGGCCCUGCUAGGCUGCUCACCAGGGACCACUUUAUCAUCACCAUCCAACUGCCCCAGUUUUAUUUGCAGAUACCCCACCCACUGCUUGUCGGUAUCCCCACCCCAGUACAUAGUUUUAAUGGAAGAAAAUGGUUGCCUGCUGAUGUAUUAACAUCUACCAUCUAUUUUGAAGAAAAGCUAGAGGGCUGGAGCAACCUCAGAAAUAUCCUUUUCUGUCUGUUGGGUAUUUGGUGAUGCCCCAUAAAAGCAUUGCAGUAAGCUUGUGAGUGCACGAGCCUCCUUCUGUGGCAGAUGUUUUUGGAAAAAAACAUUUUCCUAUUCAGAUAGGCUUUUUGGCCCCCAAAGCUAAAGUACUAGAAAACAGAGUGAGUUCUAAUUCCAGAUGGGAACGUUUGCUUGAAAAUAACUAAUCAUAGAUGUUUAAUAAUAGAACCAUAUAAGUACAGUUAGAGCAGUCCUGAGCUUUCUUCCAGUAAGGCCACUCAUGAGGAUGAUAUGAUCCAUGGUGGUAUCCUGGAUAACCUCAGACUGACAGGGAAAGGCUACAACAAAACUGUAACAGCAUUUGAAGUCAACUUAAAGUUUUGCACCCUUUUCCACCAGGCAGUGAAUUUGGGAACAGAACACAUGUCCAUCUAUAGAAUUUAAUGGCUGAUGGGGGCUUUGGUGAAUCAAAGUUAUAUGUUUAGUGUUUUAGGAACAUUACUGCUUCCUAUAAGCAAGCUGAAAAGGCAUGGCUUAAAAAAAGAAAACUAACAAGCAGUAUGCAAAGCUUUAUUUCAGUGUAGAAAACUGUCAAGUACGUUAUUAGCUUUGAAAAUAAAGGUUCUUCUAAGCAAGGUGUUACAGGGUUUCUUUAAUUAAGGUAUUGUGUACUCUAAUAGAAGAUCAAAUUACAUGUAGCAUAAUAUGUAAAUAGCUGUAUAAUUGUCUUCAAAGAAAUAUGUUUGUAUAUACAGAAUCUCUAGUGUGAAUAUCAGAUAUGGGUUGGGAGAAGAUUGUACAUUUUUGUCAAAACAAUUUGAAAGCUGUAGAUAACAGGAUGAAAGUUUAGGGCAUUAAAUCAUUGUAUUUAAAGUUGGAUUCAUGCUUAGGUCAUACUGCUUUUUCAAUUGUGCCUUGUGGAAAUGAAUUUUUUACAUACUACUUGCAGUAUGAUUAUGUACGUGCCAAAAGGUUCAACAGUGACAUAAAAAUAUGUAAAAAGCUUUUUAAAAAAAGAAACGGACUUCAGUCUGUCAAUAAACAUUUAAACAUGA